AGCAAUCCCAGCCCAGCACGGCUGCCUUCCACAAGUCCUUUAAUGGUUGUGCCGGGCACGGAGCUGCGCCAGGUGAGCAGAGGGGCCAUGGGCUGCAUCCUGCUGCCAGGCCGGCCCACGGCACGCUGAGAUGGGGACAGAGGGGUGCGGGGUGAGCGCAGCUGCGUCCCUCCCUGGGGCUCGGGAUGCAGUGACCCCCAAGUGGUUCCCAGUGGGGAUGGAGAGCAGUGGGGAUGGGCGCAUCCCUGGUGCGUGGCACAGGGACGGAGGGCAGUGGCACAGCAGCAGCAAUGGCACAACGGCAGCAGCAAUGGCACAACGGCAGCAGCAAUGGCACAACGGCAGCAGCUCCCGCAGCCGCACGGCCUCGCGGGGAGGCAGCCGUGGCAACUUCAGCGCAUCUGCGCCGUGGGGACGGACCAACACCACACAGAGCUGCGCCGAUGCUUCGUGCUAAUGAUGGCAGAACACGGCCACGCUCCGGGCUGCCACCACGCCAGCACAACGGGUGGCACGGCAGGUUGGUUGCCACCGAGCUGUGCCGGUGGCCACGUGCCCCGGGACGAGCUCAGAUGGCCACGCAGCACGGGCGCUUCUCUGCCUGCGCUGCGGCCGCGCUGUCCGGGCUCUCGCUGCCGAGUGACACCGUGCUGCUUUGGCUGCUCCUCUGCUUCUGCUUCUGCACUUUGCUGAAGAUCUCUGCGGAAACAAAAAGCGGCGCCGGGGCUGUGUCCGCGUGGAACACCCGCACGGCUCCGUGCUCAGCUCGGCGCAGCGCUGGGGGUCCCCUUCCCCUCGUGCCAGCCGCUGUGCGGGGGGAAGCGGUUCUCCCUCAGCCAAGGCGGGGGGACAGGGAGCACUCUGCAACUUCCCCUGCUUCCCUCAGCUUCCCUCUGGCCCAGCAGGGAUCAGGGCUGGCAGCUCGUGGGGCUGGUACAGCGCGGCACAGCUUGGCACAGCUCAGCAUGGCACGGCACAGCACAGCACAGCAUGGCACAGCUCAACAUGGCAUGGCACAGCUCAGCACAGCACAGCAUGGCACAGCUCAGCAUGGCAUGG
Molecule: long non-coding RNA, 1059 nt
Filed under: Numida meleagris (helmeted guineafowl)
Lineage: Eukaryota; Metazoa; Chordata; Aves; Galliformes; Numididae
Description: lncRNA (ENSNMEG00000001042.1)
Source: RNAcentral